Molecule: small nuclear RNA, 107 nt
Filed under: Ornithorhynchus anatinus (platypus)
Lineage: Eukaryota; Metazoa; Chordata; Mammalia; Monotremata; Ornithorhynchidae
Source: RNAcentral
GUGCUCAUUUUGGCAGCACAUCAGUAAAAUCAGGAAGAUCUAGAGAAGAUUAGCUAUGACUUCUCUGCGAGGGUGAUAUGAAAAUGCGUGAAGUGUUCCAUAUUUAU